This is a long non-coding RNA of Serinus canaria (Common canary), 1034 nucleotides long. RefSeq lists it as uncharacterized. The transcript is spliced from 5 exons. The record is from RefSeq and is a predicted model, not a curated record. Lineage: Eukaryota; Metazoa; Chordata; Aves; Passeriformes; Fringillidae.
GUGCUAAGGGCUCAGCUCCAGUGCCGGAGCCGGCUCCGGACACGCCGCACGGACAAGCGAGAAACCCAGGAAAACCUGCGUGGAAUCACAGCUACUGCUGAGGACACGAGGAAAAGGAAUGAAGACUGCCUGCCUCUACCAUAUAACAUUUUCUGGUGGAUGGGAAGGAUUUUUGAACAGGGAAUCAGAGAAUUUGCAAGGAUUGGAAUAAAGAACUCUUGAGACCUGCUUGCCAGUUGAAUAGCGAGGGCUGCAUGGAGCUCCAGCAGUAAUGUUUGUGCAGAGUCCUGCUGAAAGCAUCAAGCGAGGCACAGCUCUUCAGCACAACUGAGUUUUCAUUGAGCCAGCUAUGAGACAGACAAUGUUUCAGGCAACAAAUUCUUGUUCAGGGCUAAGACAGAAGGACCAAGCUUUAAGAUGAAAGAUUUUCAAAAAAAAUUUUGAAUGUUAUCUGCUGCAUAAGCAGAGAAGACUGUCUUGAAAUUCAGAGAUGGAUGGGACACAGCAGAUUUCUGCAUCUACACACCUUAUGUAAAAGCUGUAAAGAACAGGCAGCUGUCAGCAAGAGCUAGUCCCAAAGCAACUGAUACAUUUGCAACUUCGUCUCUUCAUGGAAGUAAUUAAGGGAAUGUGAGAAUUUUCAAGAAAAUUCUUUCGGUUAAGGGAUAAUGUGGAAAGUUUUAUUUCCCCCAUUACAUUUCUAUUUCUUCUAUUAUGUUCCCAUCAUAAAAUAAAAAUCUUUGAAUAUACAAUUAUAAGUGAGGUCUGAAAUUAAAGAUUUAGUGUCUGUAUACCGUGGAGAUGGUUGUACUUCCUACCUAUAAAGAGCCAUAUGAAACCCCAGAGUUCUUUUGUAAUUUGUGUUAGAGGAAUUGUAAGCACAUCACUGAAACUCCCCCUGCUAAAACCUUCUGAAGAGUGUUGUAGAUGAGAAAACUCCCUGUCAUGUGAAGCGUUUCUAUUUUUACCAUGUCACUAGGAAGAGUCACUAUUUACUGCAUUAGCUAUAACCUAAGGAGAUAUGUCCUGUGGCA